CCUAGACACCACUAAAGAAGAGGUAAUCUUGCAGAGGUCGGUGAAACUGAACCUGAUAUUGGCCGAAUUUGCUGAAAUCAUAGGCUAGUCUAGUAGAUCUAUGGCUGACGUCUGGAUUUCAAUAAUAAUUACUAAUUACUGGAUGUAUCAUGUGCAUUUAACAUUAUUCCUUGAAGAGGACAUGCUGGGUGACUGCUAACAAUGGACAGCACAGACAGCAAUCAAUUACACAAAGGACAUUUUAAUGCAGUUGUAACAUAUGAGAGUGAAAUGGUUAAGAACCCAUCACAUUCAGAUACAAUACAGUGUGGUAUAAAUUCUCCGUAUUUAAACAUGAGUCACACCAACUUUGAUUAUCAAUAUAGCCAGUUGAACCACUUAAUCCCAUCAACGACUACAGUGUCUAAUGAAGCUAAGGAAAUGCCUAUGCAACAAUAUUGGCAGCAUCCACAUAUGAGCAAUGUGAUCAACUGUAGAGGGAACUCAAAGCCAGAAUGUAGCAUACCAGGAAAUAAAAUAUCUGGUAGUGUAAAAUCAGGAAAUGCAAUACCGGAAAAUGCAAUAUCAGAAAGUGCAAUACCAGAAAAUGCAAUAUUAGGAAAUGCAAUAACAGAAAGUGCAAUGCAUAGAAAUGGUCCAUCAAACAUGUAUCAAGGUCACUCUGGUUUAAGAAGUGACAUUUAUGGCAAUCAACAGAUCAAUUAUAAAGUUCAAACUUAUGAUAGAGACUAUGUAUCUCCUGGGAUACAACAGUCUAACAAACAACAUCUGACGCAAUUUGGAAAUGUGCCCCAUGACGAAUGUCCUAUUAUCAAACAAGACAAUGAAAGAACUCUUAAUCAAGAUAAUUCUAUGGGCAUUAUAAAGGCCCAACAUUUAGAACACUCAAAUAAUGUAUCUCAUUGUUAUAGAAGUGACAAUAAGCAACCUUCAAUAACCCUGUCUCCACCAUACACAGUGACAUAUGGGGCACACUUGGACACUAGUUUAGGAACAAGUCGCACACCUACAUCUGUGCCCACACAGGCCCCUGUUACAUAUACUGGCAUCAAAAAUGAGCCUGGUUUAUUUAAACCAAAGGACUUCAUUAAUAGCGCACAUACUUGUUAUGAUCCAAAUGUACCAAGCUAUCGUAAUGAAGGGAUUAAUCACAAUUACCUGUCAGUGAAUGGACCUUACAAUCAUUAUAGUCAUACAGGUGAUACUACAAAAUGGUGUGAUAGCAACAAACAACCUGUUCAUGAACAACAUGUGAUUGUUCCCAGCUUCAACCAUUUUAAAAUGUUACAAACAGAAUCAGCUGAUUUAUCAAAGAAGCAAGUAACCUCUGAUCUAGUGACUAAAGUUAGUCCAAGCAAAAGGAAACCUCGAUCACCUGCUAAGCCAAAACCUGAUUUAAACAUAGAUCCUAAUUUUACAAUACAUAGUCCAUUGGCAUCUUAUGUACUACAAGAGGAGCAUAGCAAUGUUAUUGUUGAACAGUUUCUGAGGUCUGAGUUUACACUGUGUGAGGCCCUCUCAAAAAUAGCAUUCAAACAUCCAGUGGCUUACAUUUAUAACCCACUGAAUUAUGCCAUAAGAACCCAUGUUGACUUCAUACAGAAAUAUUGCACAACUGAAAAACAGAUUUUGCUACUGGGAAUGAAUCCAGGUCCAUGGGGUAUGUCUCAAAAUGGGGUGCCUUUUGGAGAAGGUGAUAUUGUAAGAGACUGGCUAAAGGUGACAGGGAGUGUUGGUAAGCCACUUAGAGAACACCCACAAAGACCUAUACAUGGACUAGAUUCUACCAGGAAAGAGGUCAGUGGUACCAGGUUCUGGCAGUUAAUUUGUGAGUUAUGUAUCAACCCUCAAAACUUUUUUGCGAACUGCUUCGUGCACAACAUGUGUCCUUUGGCUUUUAUGACACAUUCCGGUAAAAAUGUCACACCCCCUCAGCUUGGAAAAGAACAACUUGCUUCACUCAAUGCUGCUUGCGAUGAGGCAAUAUGCGACAUCAUAAGAAUCCUGAAUGUGAAAUAUGUGAUAGGUGUUGGGAAAUUUGCUGAGAUAAGGGUUAAAAAAGCCCUGUUGUCUAAAGGAAAUAUGCCAACUGGAUUAAGAGUUAGUAGUAUAAUGCACCCAAGUCCGAUUAACCCUGCAGCUAAUAAAGGAUGGGUCAACAUAGCCAAGGGACAGCUAGAAGAAAUGGGGCUGAUACAUAUUAUUACUAACGGUGCUUUGUGUGAAAUGGAGCCUGCAGAAACUACACCUGGAAUUUGAUGAACCUUAUGACUCUGUUUUGUAUGGUGACUGUUGUACAAUGUUCUUGGAUUGUGGAGAGUGCCGGUCUGUCUGUUCCUGAGUUUGUGGAAAUGACCAUCAAAAGAGGAAGCAAGAGCAUGGGGUGAUAGCUUUGAGAAGCUCCUAGACAAUGAUUUUGGUCGUGAUCUCUUUAAGAAGUUCCUGAAGUCUGAAUACAGUGAAGACAAUCUUUUGUUCUGGGAAGCAUGUAUGGCACUGAAGGAGGAAACUGACGAAGGUGCAAUACAUGAAGAAGCUAAACUUAUUUAUAAAAAAUAUAUAUCCCUUACUUCACCUAAUGAGGUAAAUAUUAAUGCCAAUAUUAGGAGAAAAAUAGACUCAAAUAUACAUGCUCCAACACUGAACAUAUUUGAUGAAGCAAAAGCAUGGAUUGGACUGCUUAUGGAGACAGACUCAUUUCCAAGAUUCAUCAAAUCAAAUCUAUUCAAAAGUUUUAUAUCAAGUCAUUUUUCUGAAGAUUCUAAUAGCUCUAAAUGAAUAGAGCCUGUCCAAUGAGUUGUGUUUUGUCUUAUUUAAAUUUAGAAUUGAGAAAGAUCAAUUCUGAUACUGUAAAUUGCUUUAUUUUGACAGCCAUUUUAAUAUGGCGGAUUGAUAAAAACC
RNAcentral lists this unclassified non-coding RNA (2901 nucleotides) under Owenia fusiformis. RNAcentral's name for it is "misc RNA OFUS_LOCUS1047". The record is from RNAcentral. Lineage: Eukaryota; Metazoa; Annelida; Polychaeta; Sabellida; Oweniidae.